Molecule: unclassified non-coding RNA, 377 nt
Filed under: uncultured bacterium
Lineage: Bacteria
Description: contains 16S-23S intergenic spacer region
Source: RNAcentral
UCACCGCUUACACGGGCAGUUUCCCUAGAGUUCCCGGCAUUACCCGCUGGCAACUAGGGAUGGGGAUUGCGCUCGUUAUGGGACUUAACCCGACACCUCACGGCACGAGCUGACGACAGCCAUGCAGCACCUCGCACGCCGUCCGAAGAAGAGGACGUUUCCGCCCCUGUCGACGUGACAUUCUAGCCCAGGUAAGGUUCCUCGCGUAUCAUCGAAUUAAUCCACAUACUCCACCGCUUGUGCAGGCCCCCGUCAAUUUCUUUGAGUUUUAAUCUUGCGACCGUACUUCCCAGGCGGCUUAUUUAGCGCGUUUGCUACGCCACAAAAGGGGUCGAUUCCUUUUACAGCAAAUAAGCACCGUUUACAGCUAGGACUAC